UGUGCCUUGCACAUCGCUGACGAGUGGCGGACGGGUGAGUAAUGCUUGGGAACUUGCCUUUGCGAGGGGGAUAACAGUUGGAAACGACUGCUAAUACCGCAUAAUGUCUUCGGACCAAACGGGGCUUAGGCUCCGGCGCAAAGAGAGGCCCAAGUGAGAUUAGCUAGUUGGUAAGGUAAUGGCUUACCAAGGCGACGAUCUCUAGCUGUUCUGAGAGGAAGAUCAGCCACACUGGGACUAAGACACGGCCCAGACUCCUACGGGAGGCAGCAGUGGGGAAUAUUGCACAAUGGGGGGAACCCUGAUGCAGCCAUGCCGCGUGUGUGAAGAAGGCCUUCGGGUUGUAAAGCACUUUCAGUUGUGAGGAAAAGUUAGUAGUUAAUACCUGCUAGCCGUGACGUUAACAACAGAAGAAGCACCGGCUAACUCCGUGCCAGCAGCCGCGGUAAUACGGAGGGUGCGAGCGUCAAUCGGAAUUACUGGGCGUAAAGCGCACGCAGGCGGUUUGUUAAGCUAGAUGUGAAAGCCCCGGGCUCAACCUGGGAUGGUCAUUUAGAACUGGCAGACCAGAGUCUUGGAGAGGGGAGUGGAAUUCCAGGUGUAGCGGUGAAAUGCGUAGAUAUCUGGAGGAACAUCAGUGGCGAAGGCGACUCCCUGGCCAAAGACUGACGCUCACGUGCGAAAGUGUGGGUAGCGAACAGGAUUAGAUACCCUGGUAGUCCACACCGUAAACGCUGUCUACUAGCUGUGUGUGUCUUUAAGACGUGCGUAGCGAAGCUAACGCGCUAAGUAGACCGCCUGGGGAGUACGGCCGCAAGGUUAAAACUCAAAUGAAUUGACGGGGGCCCGCACAAGCGGUGGAGCAUGUGGUUUAAUUCGAUGCAACGCGAAGAACCUUACCUACACUUGACAUGCUGAGAAGUUACUAGAGAUAGUUUCGUGCCUUCGGGAACUCAGACAC
RNAcentral lists this ribosomal RNA (961 nucleotides) under uncultured Alteromonas sp. RNAcentral's name for it is "bacterial SSU rRNA". It matches the Rfam family "Bacterial small subunit ribosomal RNA", at positions 74 to 1035 of the family's 1533-position model. Lineage: Bacteria; Pseudomonadati; Pseudomonadota; Gammaproteobacteria; Alteromonadales; Alteromonadaceae. The record is from RNAcentral.